GACGAACGCUGGCGGCGCGCUUAACACAUGCAAGUCGAGCGAGAACCAGACCUUCGGGUCUGGGGACAGCGGCGAACGGGUGAGUAACACGUGGGGAAUCAACCCUCGGUACUGGGAUAGCCCGGGGAAACCCGGAUUAAUACCGGAUGGCGCUUCGACUCUUCGGUUCCGAAGGAAAAGGUAGCUUCGGCCUCCGACCGAGGACGAGCCCGCGGCGGAUUAGCUUGUUGGUGGGGUAACGGCCUACCAAGGCGGCGAUCCGUAGCUGGUCUGAGAGGACGAUCAGCCACACUGGGACUGAGACACGGCCCAGACUUCUACGGAAGGCAGCAGUGGGGAAUCUUGCGCUAAUGCGGGAAACCGUGACGCAGCGACGCCGCGUGAGGGAAGAAGGCCUUCGGGUUGUAAACCUCUUUCAGAAGGGACGAAGCUACUCGGGUUAAUAGCCCAGAGGGUGACGGUACCUUCAGAAGAAGCCCCGGCUAACUACGUGCCAGCCGCCGCCGUAA
RNAcentral lists this ribosomal RNA (509 nucleotides) under uncultured bacterium. RNAcentral's name for it is "partial 16S ribosomal RNA". It matches the Rfam family "Bacterial small subunit ribosomal RNA", at positions 28 to 523 of the family's 1533-position model. The record is from RNAcentral.